CGGGUCGCUGCAGCAGUGAGGAAUAUUGCACAAUGGAGGAAACUCUGAUGCAGCAACGCCGCGUGGAGGAUGACGCAUUUCGGUGUGUAAACUCCUUUUAUGAGUCAAGAAAAUGACGGUAGCUCAUGAAUAAGCACCGGCUAACUCCGUGCCAGCAGCCGCGGUCAUACGGAGGGUGCAAGCGUUACUCGGAAUCACUGGGCGUAAAGGACGCGUAGGCGGGUUGGAAAGUCAGGUGUGAAAUCCUACAGCUUAACUGUAGAACUGCACUUGAAACUUCUAAUCUAGAGUAUGGGAGGGGGAGAUGGAAUUAGUGGUGUAGGGGUAAAAUCCGUAGAUAUCACUAGGAAUACCUAAAGCGAAGGCGAUCUCCUGGAACAUUACUGACGCUAAGGCGUGAAAGCGUGGGGAGCAAACAGGAUUAGAUACCCUGGUAGUC
RNAcentral lists this ribosomal RNA (439 nucleotides) under uncultured bacterium. RNAcentral describes it as "partial 16S ribosomal RNA". It matches the Rfam family "Bacterial small subunit ribosomal RNA", at positions 342 to 795 of the family's 1533-position model. The record is from RNAcentral.